UAAGUACAUGCCGUAUUAAGGCGAAACCGCGAAUGGCUCAUUAAAUCAGUUACGGUUUAUUAGAUGUUGACCAUCUACAUGGAUAACUGUGGAAAAUCUAGAGCUAAUACAUGCACAAAAGCUUUGACCUUAACAGGGAGAAGCGCAUUUAUUAGAACAAGACCAAUGGGUUCCCGUAACACGGAUACCCUUUUAGUGGUGACUCUGGAUAACUUUUGCUGAUCGCAUGGCCUAUGUGCCGGCGACGAAUCUUUCAAGUGUCUGCCUUAUCAACUGUCGAUGGUAGGUUAUGCGCCUACCAUGGUUGUAACGGGUAACGGGGAAUCAGGGUUCGAUUCCGGAGAGGGAGCGUUAGAGUUGGCCACCACAUCCAAGGAAGGCAGCAGGCGCGCAAAUUACCCAAUCCCAGAACGGGGAGGUAGUGACGAAAAAUAACAAUACGGGACUCUUAUGAGGCCCCGUAAUUGGAAUGAGAACAAUCUAAAUCCUUUAACGAGGAUCUAUUAGAGGGCAAGUCUGGUGCCAGCAGCCGCGGUAAUUCCAGCUCUAAUAGCGUAUACUAAAGUUGUUGUGGUUAAAAAGCUCGUAGUUGAAUCUCAGUUCGAGUCAGACGGUCCACUUGCCAGUGGCUACUGUCUGGCUGAACACUUUAUCGAGUUGUCCUUCAGUGCUCUUAACCGAGUGUUGUAGGCGAUCGAUACGUUUACUUUGAAAAAAUUAGAGUGCUCAAAGCAGGCUUGCAAAGCCCGAAUAAUGUUGCAUGGAAUAAUGGAAUAGGACCUCGGUUCUAUUUUGUUGGUCUUCGGAAUCCCGAGAUAAUG
This 821-nucleotide ribosomal RNA is filed under the name uncultured eukaryote. RNAcentral's name for it is "SSU rRNA". It matches the Rfam family "Eukaryotic small subunit ribosomal RNA", at positions 60 to 867 of the family's 1831-position model. The record is from RNAcentral.